GCCCAGGUGGUGAAAUUGGUAGACACAAGGGACUUAAAAUCCCUCGGAGGCAACUCCGUGCCGGUUCAAGUCCGGCCCUGGGCA
This 84-nucleotide transfer RNA is filed under the name bacterium. RNAcentral describes it as "tRNA-Leu". It matches the Rfam family "tRNA". From Rfam's summary of the family: Transfer RNA (tRNA) molecules are approximately 80 nucleotides in length. Their secondary structure includes four short double-helical elements and three loops (D, anti-codon, and T loops). Further hydrogen bonds mediate the characteristic L-shaped molecular structure. tRNAs have two regions of fundamental functional importance: the anti-codon, which is responsible for specific mRNA codon recognition, and the 3' end, to which the tRNAs corresponding amino acid is attached (by aminoacyl-tRNA synthetases). tRNAs cope with the degeneracy of the genetic code in two manners: having more than one tRNA (with a specific anti-codon) for a particular amino acid; and 'wobble' base-pairing, i.e. permitting non-standard base-pairing at the 3rd anti-codon position. The record is from RNAcentral.